AGUCAUUCAGUGACAAGCCAGCGGAAGUGUUUAAAACUGUUUGAGUACAGACAGGUGCAACUAGAAGGCACAUGGCCUGACUAUACUACAGACCCAACCUAGGGCCAGAUCGUAGCUGGGACACCAGCUACUCGUCGUCGUCGAUGUCUAUGAAGAACCCUCCAUUAGGGUCAUUAGCAACCUCUGCAACAUUUAUUAAGCAAACAUGAGUACGGAGGUACUCAGCAAGACUUUAGGAAAACUAUCUACUCAUGCAAUGUAUCAAUAAGGUAUUGUGGGGUUUCA
Molecule: long non-coding RNA, 285 nt
Filed under: Hordeum vulgare
Lineage: Eukaryota; Viridiplantae; Streptophyta; Magnoliopsida; Poales; Poaceae
Description: long non-coding RNA (HVUL_LNC012978)
Source: RNAcentral